GCCUUAGCUCAGUAGGUUAGAGCGCUUGAUUGUGGAUCAAGAGGUCGUAGGUUCGAAUCCCACAGGC
Molecule: transfer RNA, 67 nt
Filed under: marine eukaryotic metagenome
Rfam family: tRNA
About the family: Transfer RNA (tRNA) molecules are approximately 80 nucleotides in length. Their secondary structure includes four short double-helical elements and three loops (D, anti-codon, and T loops).
Source: RNAcentral